This 465-nucleotide ribosomal RNA is filed under the name uncultured bacterium. RNAcentral describes it as "partial 16S ribosomal RNA". It matches the Rfam family "Bacterial small subunit ribosomal RNA", at positions 338 to 795 of the family's 1533-position model. The record is from RNAcentral.
CCUACGGGGGGCAGCAGUGGGGAAUAUUGCGCAAUGGGCGAAAGCCUGACGCAGCGACGCCGCGUGAGGGAUGAAGGUCUUCGGAUCGUAAACCUCUGUCAGCAGGGAAGAACGGUCACUGUGCUAAUCAGCAGUGAAUUGACGGUACCUGCAAAGGAAGCACCGGCUAACUCCGUGCCAGCAGCCGCGGUAAUACGGAGGGUGCGAGCGUUAAUCGGAAUUACUGGGCGUAAAGCGCUCGUAGGCGGUAUGUCAAGUCAAGGGUGAAAUCCCCGCGCUCAACGUGGGAACUGCCUUUGAAACUGGCAAACUGGAGUGUGUGAGAGGAUAGUGGAAUUCCAGGUGUAGGAGUGAAAUCCGUAGAUAUCUGGAGGAACAUCAGGGGCGAAGGCGACUAUCUGGAACAUAACUGACGCUGAGGAGCGAAAGCGUGGGUAGCAAACAGGAUUAGAUACCCCAGUAGUC